UGCGUAGGCGGAUUAAUAAGUCAGUGGUGAAAUCUUUCGGCUCAACCGAGAAACUGCCAUUGAUACUGUUAAUCUUGAGUUCGGUUGAGGUAGGCGGAAUGUCUAAUGUAGCGGUGAAAUGCUUAGAUAUUACACAGAACACCAAUUGCGUAGGCAGCUUACUAGACCGACACUGACGCUGAGGCACGAAAGCGUGGGGAGCGAACAGGAUUAGAUACCCUGGUAGUCC
This 229-nucleotide ribosomal RNA is filed under the name uncultured bacterium. RNAcentral's name for it is "partial 16S ribosomal RNA". It matches the Rfam family "Bacterial small subunit ribosomal RNA", at positions 568 to 796 of the family's 1533-position model. The record is from RNAcentral.